CAGCCGCCCGGUAAUACAGAGGGUGCGAGCGUUAAUCGGAUUUACUGGGCGUAAAGCGUGCGUAGGCGGCUUUUUAAGUCGGAUGUGAAAUCCCUGAGCUUAACUUAGGAAUUGCAUUCGAUACUGGGAAGCUAGAGUAUGGGAGAGGAUGGUAGAAUUCCAGGUGUAGCGGUGAAAUGCGUAGAGAUCUGGAGGAAUACCGAUGGCGAAGGCAGCCAUCUGGCCUAAUACUGACGCUGAGGUACGAAAGCAUGGGGAGCAAACAGGAUUAGAGACCCCUGUAGUCCCUGUCUCUUAUACC
RNAcentral lists this ribosomal RNA (301 nucleotides) under uncultured bacterium. RNAcentral describes it as "partial 16S ribosomal RNA". It matches the Rfam family "Bacterial small subunit ribosomal RNA", at positions 512 to 808 of the family's 1533-position model. The record is from RNAcentral.